UACAGAGGGGGCAAGCGUUGUUCGGAAUUACUGGGCGUAAAGGGCGCGUAGGCGGCCUUCUAAGUCGAACGUGAAAUCCCCGGGCUCAACCUGGGAACUGCGUCCGAUACUGGAAGGCUUGAAUCCGGGAGAGGGAUGCGGAAUUCCAGGUGUAGCGGUGAAAUGCGUAGAUAUCUGGAGGAAUACCGGUGGCGAAGGCGGCAUCCUGGACCGACAUUGACGCUGAAAACCGAAAGCUAGGGGAGCAAACGGG
This 253-nucleotide ribosomal RNA is filed under the name uncultured bacterium. Its description in RNAcentral is "partial 16S ribosomal RNA". It matches the Rfam family "Bacterial small subunit ribosomal RNA", at positions 524 to 776 of the family's 1533-position model. The record is from RNAcentral.